UGGGGAAUAUUGGGCAAUGGGGGAAACCCUGACCCAGCGACGCCGCGUGAAGGACGAAGGCCUUCGGGUUGUAAACUUCUUUGAUCAGGGACGAAACAAAUGACGGUACCUGAGGAACAAGCCACGGCUAACUACGUGCCAGCAGCCGCGGUAAUACGUAGGUGGCAAGCGUUAUCCGGAUUUACUGGGUGUAAAGGGCGUGUAGGCGGUCUUGCAAGUCGGAAGUGAAAUUCCCGGGCUUAACUCGGGCGCUGCUCCCGAAACUGCGAGACUUGAGUACUGGAGAGGAUAGUGGAAUUCCUAGUGUAGCGGUAAAAUGCGUAGAUAUUAGGAGGAACACCAGUGGCGAAGGCGGCUAUCUGGACAGUAACUGACGCUGAGGCGCGAAAGCGUGGGGAGCAAACA
This 405-nucleotide ribosomal RNA is filed under the name uncultured bacterium. RNAcentral's name for it is "bacterial SSU rRNA". It matches the Rfam family "Bacterial small subunit ribosomal RNA", at positions 355 to 774 of the family's 1533-position model. The record is from RNAcentral.